GCGCACGUGGCGGAAUUGGUAGACGCGCUAGCUUGAGGGGCUAGUAACCAUUAGGUUGUGGAAGUUCGAGUCUUCUCGUGCGCACAA
Molecule: transfer RNA, 87 nt
Filed under: Pontimicrobium aquaticum
Lineage: Bacteria; Pseudomonadati; Bacteroidota; Flavobacteriia; Flavobacteriales; Flavobacteriaceae
Description: Lacinutrix sp. CAU 1491 tRNA-Leu
Rfam family: tRNA
About the family: Transfer RNA (tRNA) molecules are approximately 80 nucleotides in length. Their secondary structure includes four short double-helical elements and three loops (D, anti-codon, and T loops).
Source: RNAcentral